RNAcentral lists this ribosomal RNA (120 nucleotides) under Pteropus alecto (black flying fox). The record is from RNAcentral. Lineage: Eukaryota; Metazoa; Chordata; Mammalia; Chiroptera; Pteropodidae.
UCCUAUGGCCAUGCUACCCUGAACAUGCCCAAUCCCGUCUGAUCUCGGAAGCUAAGCAGGGUCGGGCCAGGUUAGUACUUGAAUAGGAAACCACCUAGGAAGACCAGGGGACUGUAGGCG